UACAUGCCUCGAAGUCGCGACCUCACGGGAGCGAUGCAGUUAUUAGAUCAAAACCAACCGGGCUUCGGUCCGCUGGCUUGAUGACUCUGGAUAACUUUCUGCAGAUCGCACGGCCUUUGCGCUGGCGAUAGAUCUUUCAAAUGUCUGCCCUAUCAACUUAAGAUGGUAGGUAACCCGCCUACCAUGGUUAUAACGGGUAACGGGGAAUCAGGGUUCGAUUCCGGAGAGGGAGCCUGAGAAAUAGCUACCACAUCCAAGGAAGGCAGCAGGCGCGCAAAUUACCCACUCCCGGCACGGGGAGGUAGUGACGAAAAAUAACGAUAUAGAACUCUUUCGAGGCUCUAUAAUUGGAAUGAGCACACUUUAAAUCCUUUAGCGAGGAUCAAUUGGAGGGCAAGUCUGGUGCCAGCAGCCGCGGUAAUUCCAGCUCCAAUAGCGUAUAUUAAAGUUGUUGCAGUUAAAAAGCUCGUAGUUGGAUCUGAGGAGUAGAACGGAUUGUUCGCCUCUGGUGUUACGAUCUGUUCGGCCUACACAGCUGUGGAUAUCAUUGGUGUUCUUAAUUGAAUGCCUUUGAUGCCCGGCAAUUUUACUUUGAAAAAAUUAGAGUGCUUAAAGCAGGCAUUUCGCUUGUAUAUUGUUGCAUGGAAUAAUGGAAUAGGACUUCGGUUCUAUUUUGUUGGUUUUCGGAAUUGAAGUAAUGAUUAACAGAGACAGCCGGGGGCAUUUGUAUGGUGGCGUUAGAGGUGAAAUUCUUGGAUCGCCGCCAGACAACCUACUGCGAAAGCAUUUGCCAAGAAUGUUUUCACUAAUCAAGAACGAAAGUCAGAGGUUCGAAGACGAUCAGAUACCGUCCUAGUUCUGACCAUAAAUGAUGCCAACUGGCGAUCCGUGAAGUUUGCUUGGUCGAACACACGGGCAGCCUCCGGGAAACCUAAGUCUUUUGGUUCCGGGGGAAGUAUGGUUGCAAGGCUGAAACUUAAAGGAAUUGACGGAAGGGCACCACCAGGAGUGGAGCCUGCGGCUUAAUUUGACUCAACACGGGAAAACUCACCCGGCCCGGACACUGCGAGGAUUGACAGAUUAAAAGCUCUUUCUAGAUUCAGUGGAUGGUGGUGCAUGGCCGUUCUUAGUUGGUGGAGUGAUUUGUCUGGUUAAUUCCGAUAACGAGCGAGACUCUAUCCUGCUAAAUAGUUUGAGGAUAGUACGACCUCAUAACUUCUUAGAGGGACAAAAAUCUCCUAGAUAUAUGAGAGAGAGCAAUAACAGGUCUGUGAUGCCCUUAGAUGUUCGGGGCCGCACGCGCGCUACACUGACGCCUUCAACGAGUUUGCACCUGGACUGAAAAGUUUGGGUAACCUGAUUGAAUGGGCGUCGUGACAGGGAUCGGGGCUUGCAAUUCUUCCCCGUGAACGAGGAAUUCCCAGUAAGCGCAAGUCAUAAGCUUGCGUUGAUUACGUCCCUGCCCUUUGUACACACCGCCCGUCGCUACUACCGAUUGAAUGGUUUAGU
This 1509-nucleotide ribosomal RNA is filed under the name Yorknia todaroi. RNAcentral describes it as "SSU rRNA". It matches the Rfam family "Eukaryotic small subunit ribosomal RNA", at positions 168 to 1702 of the family's 1831-position model. Lineage: Eukaryota; Metazoa; Platyhelminthes; Proseriata; Yorkniidae. The record is from RNAcentral.